This 446-nucleotide ribosomal RNA is filed under the name Escherichia coli. Its description in RNAcentral is "partial 23S ribosomal RNA". It matches the Rfam family "Bacterial large subunit ribosomal RNA", at positions 737 to 1180 of the family's 2925-position model. The record is from RNAcentral. Lineage: Bacteria; Pseudomonadati; Pseudomonadota; Gammaproteobacteria; Enterobacterales; Enterobacteriaceae.
UGGGCAGGUUGAAGGUUGGGUAACACUAACUGGAGGACCGAACCGACUAAUGUUGAAAAAUUAGCGGAUGACUUGUGGCUGGGGGUGAAAGGCCAAUCAAACCGGGAGAUAGCUGGUUCUCCCCGAAAGCUAUUUAGGUAGCGCCUCGUGAAUUCAUCUCCGGGGGUAGAGCACUGUUUCGGCAAGGGGGUCAUCCCGACUUACCAACCCGAUGCAAACUGCGAAUACCGGAGAAUGUUAUCACGGGAGACACACGGCGGGUGCUAACGUCCGUCGUGAAGAGGGAAACAACCCAGACCGCCAGCUAAGGUCCCAAAGUCAUGGUUAAGUGGGAAACGAUGUGGGAAGGCCCAGACAGCCAGGAUGUUGGCUUAGAAGCAGCCAUCAUUUAAAGAAAGCGUAAUAGCUCACUGGUCGAGUCGGCCUGCGCGGAAGAUGUAACGGGG